This 406-nucleotide ribosomal RNA is filed under the name uncultured bacterium. Its description in RNAcentral is "partial 16S ribosomal RNA". It matches the Rfam family "Bacterial small subunit ribosomal RNA", at positions 30 to 526 of the family's 1533-position model. The record is from RNAcentral.
AUUGAACGCUCGCGGCAGGCCUAACCCAUGCAAGUCGAACGAGUAGCGGACGUGUGAGUCAUGUCUGUGCAACUGCCUGAUGGAGGCGGCUAACUACUGGAAACGGUAGCUAAUACCGCAUACCAUCAGAUGUGCCCAGAUGGGAUUAGCUCGUUGGUGGGGUAACGGAUCACCAAGCCGACGCUCCCUAGCUGGACUGCGAGGAUGACCAGCCAAACUGGAACUGAGACACGGUCCAGACUCCUACGGGAGGCAGCAGUGGGGAAUAUGGAACAAUGGGCGCAAGUCUGAUGCAGCCAUGCCGCGUGUAUGAAGAAGGCCUUCGGGUUGUAAAGUACUUUCAGCGGGGAGGCGUUACCCGCAGAAGAAGCACCGGCUAACUCCGUGCCAGCAGCCGCGGUAAUUC